RNAcentral lists this ribosomal RNA (495 nucleotides) under uncultured bacterium. RNAcentral's name for it is "partial 16S ribosomal RNA". It matches the Rfam family "Bacterial small subunit ribosomal RNA", at positions 28 to 507 of the family's 1533-position model. The record is from RNAcentral.
GACGAACGCUGGCGGCGUGCCUAAUACAUGCAAGUAGAACGCUGAAGGAGGAGCUUGCUUCUCUGGAUGAGUUGCGAACGGGUGAGUAACGCGUAGGUAACCUGCCUGGUAGCGGGGGAUAACUAUUGGAAACGAUAGCUAAUACCGCAUAACAGUAGAUAUCGCAUGAUAUCUACUUGAAAGUUGCAAUUGCAUCACUACCAGAUGGACCUGCGUUGUAUUAGCUAGUUGGUGAGGUAAAGGCUCACCAAGGCGACGAUACAUAGCCUACCUGAGAGGGUGAACGGGCACAAUGGGAAUGAGACCCGGCCCAAACUCCCAAGGGAAGGAGCAGUAGGGAAUCAUCGGAAAAGGACGGAAGGCCGACCGAACAAAGACGCGUGAGUGAAGAAGGGUCUCGGAUCGUAAAGGUCCGUUGUAAGGGAAGAAAGAGCGUGAGAGUAGAACCUUCACAUUGUGACGGUACCUAAACAGAAAGCAACGGCUAACUACGUG